CGNANNNGNGNGUGCUUACCAUGCAGUCGAACGGAAAGGCCCAGCUUGCUGGGUACUCGAGUGGCGAACGGGUGAGUAACACGUGGGUGAUCUGCCCUGCACUCUGGGAUAAGCCUGGGAAACUGGGUCUAAUACCGGAUAUGACCAACUGUCGCAUGGUGGUUGGUGGAAAGCUUUUGCGGUGUGGGAUGGGCCCGCGGCCUAUCAGCUUGUUGGUGGGGUAAUGGCCUACCAAGGCGACGACGGGUAGCCGACCUGAGAGGGUGAUCGGCCACACUGGGACUGAGACACGGCCCAGACUCCUACGGGAGGCAGCAGUGGGGAAUAUUGCACAAUGGGCGCAAGCCUGAUGCAGCGACGCCGCGUGAGGGAUGACGGCCUUCGGGUUGUAAACCUCUUUCACCAGGGACGAAGCGUGAGUGACGGUACCUGGAGAAGAAGCACCGGCCAACUACGUGCCAGCAGCCGCGGUAAUACGUAGGGUGCGAGCGUUGUCCGGAAUUACUGGGCGUAAAGAGCUCGUAGGCGGUUUGUCGCGUCGUCUGUGAAAUUCUGCAACUCAAUUGCAGGCGUGCAGGCGAUACGGGCAGACUUGAGUACUACAGGGGAGACUGGAAUUCCUGGUGUAGCGGUGAAAUGCGCAGAUAUCAGGAGGAACACCGGUGGCGAAGGCGGGUCUCUGGGUAGUAACUGACGCUGAGGAGCGAAAGCGUGGGUAGCGAACAGGAUUAGAUACCCUGGUAGUCCACGCCGUAAACGGUGGGUACUAGGUGUGGGUUCCUUUUCACGGGAUCCGUGCC
This 800-nucleotide ribosomal RNA is filed under the name Gordonia sp. HPCPW46. Its description in RNAcentral is "bacterial SSU rRNA". It matches the Rfam family "Bacterial small subunit ribosomal RNA", at positions 34 to 847 of the family's 1533-position model. The record is from RNAcentral. Lineage: Bacteria; Bacillati; Actinomycetota; Actinomycetes; Mycobacteriales; Gordoniaceae.